This 230-nucleotide unclassified non-coding RNA is filed under the name fungal sp. RNAcentral's name for it is "partial internal transcribed spacer region". The stretch from base 1 to 54 matches the Rfam family "Eukaryotic small subunit ribosomal RNA", at positions 1778 to 1831 of the family's 1831-position model. The record is from RNAcentral. Lineage: Eukaryota; Fungi.
GGAAGUACAAGUCGUAACAAGGUUUCCGUAGGUGAACCUGCGGAAGGAUCAUUAACAAAUCCAAGGGCCCUCUCCGUCUUAAUUGGGGAGAGCGGUCGUAUGUUCCGGUGCUGAGCGCUGUGGCGCAAGGUAACCGUGUUCAACGUGCUCUGCACAAGUAUGUAAGUCGGACUGAAACAACAUGGUGGGAACUCAACAAACAACUUUUAACAAUGGAUCUCUAGGCUCUU